UCUUAGCCAUUAGAUUAAGACCUAAUGAAUGUAGACCCUCUAUUUUAAUUAACCUAAUUUUUGUCUCAAAAAUGCUAUUUUGGCCGACACAUAAUUCCACUAAAAGUUUUCCAUUAUUUGCUCUUUUAUUUCUGAUUUUCAGCUCCUAACCCUAGCUUUCUUUUUUCUUUCAAUUCUUCUCUUCUAACAAAACAAAACAAAUACACGAUUAAGAAGACUAUAGCUAACGAAAUUCUAAUGAUUCAAGUUAAUCCACUGUUCUUUUUGAUUUUAAAUUUUUUGCUUUCUUGAAGAAUUUGUUUAAUGGCUCUAGUUUCAGUUUUAAUUGAGAAUGGCAAGGAUAAAUGGGAUAGCCGGAUUCGGUUUGGCGACGGCGCCUCUUGCUCUCCGGUUAGUUCCUGUCUUGAACCGAAGAAAGAUUGGCUUGCGGGUUGAACUGAGAUCGAACCGGAGGAGAAGGAUGGAGGCUCUGAACUGAUGAAGAAAGAAAUCUUAAGCUUGAACAAAGGUAAUGAAGGAGAGGAGCAAGGAAUGGAAGAAUGUGCAGAAUUUCUCAACAACUUUUUCUAUUUUUUUUUUCUAAAGGAGGGCUAAUGUUCCUUCUCUUCUUUAUUUUCAGUGUAAGUUUUUGGGGGCUAUUUAUGCUAUAGCAAAGAGAGAAUGUGAGAAGACAGGCUGAAUUUCAGCUUCAAAGAAAAAGGAAGAAAGAUGGUGAGGAUUUGUGCAAUGUAUUUUGGUCAUGGCAGAACUUGGAUAGUGUCUCCACACAACAAAGGACUACAUUUCAGCUCAGUAGCACACAUUGAGAAAAAGGAAGAAGCUGUGGAGAAUUUCAAUGGGCAUAUUGCUAUGUAAAUUCCCUGAUGUCCUUUGCAAUGAAUUUUGGACUUAAUUUAUAGGCUAAGGCAAUGGCAGUUCUGUAAUUAUGAUAAAUGUGAUUAAUUGUGCCUAAAUGUACUUAAUUAGCCAUAAUCUUGAUUUUGUGUCUAUAAAUUGGAUUUGCACUUGACAA
Mercurialis annua (annual mercury) is the source of this 1012-nucleotide long non-coding RNA. RefSeq lists it as uncharacterized. The record is from RefSeq and is a predicted model, not a curated record. NCBI's taxonomy places the organism in Eukaryota, Viridiplantae, Streptophyta, Magnoliopsida, Malpighiales, Euphorbiaceae. The transcript is spliced from 2 exons.